Molecule: long non-coding RNA, 486 nt
Filed under: Homo sapiens (human)
Lineage: Eukaryota; Metazoa; Chordata; Mammalia; Primates; Hominidae
Description: long non-coding RNA NONHSAT222251
Source: RNAcentral
GACGAGGUGGCUGCUUCUCGUGACUGGGCAGUGACUCAACAAAGCACCAGUGGUCCCAGCCCUACCUCUUACAGCCCUUCCCUCUACCGUGCCCUGGAUCUUCUGGGUCACUUCUCAUCACGCUCCAAAGCUCUGCUCAGACCUUCCCUCAUCCAGAGACUGCUGCAUGGUCCCUGCAUCAAAAUGGUGAGCUGUGGGACGGGACCACAGGGCCCCUUAUGCAGAGCUGGUAGGAAGUUGAAGGAGCGCCUGGCUACACACCCCUCUCAGGAUGCUGGUGUGUGGUAGAGGCUCAGAAAUGGGCCUCUCCUGUUUCUCUGCACCACCGGUACCACUGCUCCCCAUUCACAGCCCUUUCCACACAGGGACAGCCCAUGUGUUCCCUGCUCUCCCAAACACUGUGGGGCUGUGAGGACAGGGACUUUGUCUCCUGCCUCUGUCUCCCUGCGGCCCAGCACAGAGCCGCUCUCAUGGUGGACAUCAAUA